This 253-nucleotide ribosomal RNA is filed under the name uncultured bacterium. Its description in RNAcentral is "partial 16S ribosomal RNA". It matches the Rfam family "Bacterial small subunit ribosomal RNA", at positions 524 to 776 of the family's 1533-position model. The record is from RNAcentral.
UACGUAGGGUGCGAGCGUUAAUCGGAAUUACUGGGCGUAAAGAGCGCGCAGGCGGUCGUCCAAGUCGCGUGUGAAAGCCCCCGGCUCAACUGGGGAGGGUCACGCGAUACUGGUCGACUCGAAGGCAGGAGAGGAUCGCGGAAUUCCCGGUGUAGAGGUGAAAUUCGUAGAUAUCGGGAGGAACACCAGUGGCGAAGGCGGCGAUCUGGGAAGAUACUGACGCUGAGGUGCGAAAGCGUGGGGAGCAAACAGG